UGCUUUGAAUCGGAUAAACCGCCGCUCGAGCUCGCGAGCACGCGGUGUGCGCAUGCGCAGGACUGCCGAAAGCGAAGCGUGUGCACUGCGCAUGCGCGGGGCCGCUUGUAAACAAUGCGCGUCUCAGUGUGUCCUUAUUGCAUUGUGCGUCCUUUCUGAGCAGCUGCGGCGCGCAUCGGACCCGGAUGUGUUUGUCCGUCGUGCAGCACAGGAGCUGGAUUUAAUCCGGCCUGAACGCAGCAUGGAGGCCGCUCUGACUCGGCUGAAGUCUCUGAGUGCCGACGAGCUCAGGGAGGAGAUCCUCAAAGCGAACCUGAAGUGCGGCCCCAUCACGGCCACCACGCGCGCCGUGUUCGAGCGCAAACUCGCCCGCGCCCUCGUCGGGAACGCCGGACUCUCCGCUCCGGAAUCUGGAGGCUCCGCCGCCGCCACGGCUGAAGAGGGGGAGGUCGGGUACCAUCUCGGUCUCAACCCGCCUGAGGAGGAGCCACUGAGCGAGAAGAGCAUGUCUCCGUCACGGCAUGACGUCCAGACGCCGAACAGAACGCCUCAGACCACGCCCACGCUCUACUACGGGGUGUGUCCGUUGUGGGAGGACGUGUUGGCCAGAAACGAAAGGGUUCACGUGUACAUGGAUAAGAAGGAGGCUCUGCAGGCGGUGAAGAUGAUGAAGGGCGCUCGCUUCAAGGCCUUCUCUACUCGAGAGGAUGCUGAGAAGUUCGCCAAGGGACUCUGUGAUUACUUCCCCUCCCCGAGCAAGUGCGCCCCCUGCGUGUCGCCCGUGAAGACCGCCCUCGUCUUCGGCAAAGAGGGCUCGUCUCUGGCGGAGACGGACGGGACGAACAGGGAAAAGGCGAACAGCUUCAAGAGUCCUCGUCCUCAGGACCUGACGGCGAGGCUGCGAGUGUGUGUGGAGCGAGGUGACGAGGUUGCCUUCACCGAGCUGGUGUGGAGCAACCCGCGCUACCUCAUCGGCUCCGGAGACAACCCCACCGUGCUGCAGGAGGGCUGCAGGUAUAAUGUGAUGCAUGUUGCAGCGAAGGAGAACCAGGCGGGCGUGGCUCAGCUGCUGCUCGACACGCUGGAGAAUCCGGACUUCAUGCGCCUCAUGUAUCCCGACGAUACGGAGAGCAUGCUGCACCAGCGCAUCCGCUACAUCGUGGACCUGUACCUCAACACGCCCGAUAAAGCCUGCUUCGAGACUCCGCUACACUUUGCGUGUAAGUUCGGUUGUGCGGCCGUGGUGAACGUCCUCUGCUCUCAUCCCCACAUCGACAAACACAGGAAGAACAAAUACGACCAGCGACCCUGCGAGAUUAUUUGUGAGCGCAUGAAGGAAAAAAACAAAAUCCCAGACAUCAAGCAGAAGAUCUCGGAGUAUCUGGAAGACCGGUGUUACGUGCCCCUCCUCCGAGCAGCCGACAACUCCGCCCAGCCCGUGAUCGGCGCCCGCUGGUCACCUGAGCCGAUGGAACACCGCUCACUGCAAUUACCCAGAAGCCCCCGGGAACCCGUGAUGGCGGUGAGGGCCUUCGCCGGCCCCCUGAGCCCCUCUAAAGCGGACGAGUUCAGGCGUGUGUGGAAGACGCCCCCUAGAGAGCGGGCGGAGCAUUUCCACCACAUCCUCAAGUCGGACCCCGAGCGUGGAGCGGAGCGAGUCGGCAGAGACCUGGCGCAUGAGCUGGGCCACCCCUGGGCUGAGUACUGGGAUUUCUUGGACAGUUUUGUGGACUUGGUGUCAGUAGAGGGUCUGUGGCGAUUGGAGGAGUUCCUGAGCAAGAAGGACUUCAGUGAGCGCGCUCGAGACCAGGCUGGAGAACUCAAUAACAGCAACAAGUUCAGAACUCCGUCCCCGGGAAAGCAGAAGUUGUUCAGUAACUCGGUGUCGGUCGGAGCGUUCCUGGACGAGACCGAUAUCUCGCUGGAGGAGAUCAAGAACCGACAGAACGCGGCGCUCACCAGCAUCUCGUCCUCCUCCGCUUCCUCCUCCUCCUCCUCCUCUGCCUCCUGCUGCUCUAAAGACGACCUGGGUGGGCGGGGCUUCCACAUCCUGCCUGUCUCACAAGACUCCGCCCUGAUCGAGCCACGAAACCCCGCCUCUUCCUGCCCGCCAUCGCCCAUUUCCAACCUGAUGGCGGAGUUCGAGCGUAUGACGCUGCGCGAGCACCCGGUGGGAGGUGAACAGGAAGGGGCGGAGCUUUCGAGCGCGAGUUCGGACGAGUACUUCCUGGCGCAGGAGAGCAUGGAGGAGGAUGAGCAGAGAGCGAGGACUCGAUUGGGAUCAAACAGCGAGCGAUUGCUCUGUUCGCGCUCCAGAUCAUGGGAUCACACAAGCUCCGCCUCCUCCUCCACCUCUGGAUCUUAUAGAUCAUUGGAGCGUUCGAAUGACCUCAUCCUGACCACGCCCCCUCGAAUCAGGAAAGGGCUGUUCAUUGAGGGAGACGCUCCCUCCAGACUGGACCGUGAUGUUUUUGCUGCAGUGGGAGGAGUCGAAAUCGACCCGCUCAAAUAUCCCAGCAUUCACAAGUGGAAAAGCACCAUCGAGUCGUACACCAGCGCAGAGAUGCGGAGUUGGCAGACUCCGGCUGUGUUAAAGACUCACUCCAGACUCCAGUCUUUGACUCCCGGUUCUCCUGUGAGUCGUUACAGUCCGGCCCGACACGCCUACUCGCCGGACUGCACCAGUCCCGGACGCUACAGCCCCGCCCACUGCAGCUACAGCCCCGCCCAUACCAGUUACAUCCAGCGCAUCCGCCUCAAGCACUUAGGAGACUCGCCGAUUUAACAAACGCUUGGCGUGGACUCUGUGUCCCGGCGUCUGUCCGUCUCAGACACACGGAGCUCCACCGCUGCAGCAGAACUUUACUGCGCGAAAAAACGUUUAGAGUGAACAGAACUGAUUAACGUCGUACGGUAGAGGAACGAUCCAGACUGAAACGUGCAGAAGAGGAAGAUGAAUGGAACGUUCGAGACGUUAACGUGAAUUAAACACACACACACACACACACACACUGCUGAAUCUGAAGUUACAAUUUAAUUGAAGUCACAACAAAGAAAACUGCAACAAAGUGUCCAGACAUGACUGCUCCCAAUCCCGGCCGUGCUCUCCUGCUGACGAGCGCGAUCCGUACACGACAUCUCACACACCCCGAGUGCUGGCUUUCAGAACAACAUCUGGAUUUAAGGUCGAGGUGUGUGCUGAUACUGACCGAGACACGAAACAUGGAACAUCUGGAUUAAAAUAAAAUCACUGAACUGACGGAACGCCGGAGGAGCGCGAGAUUUGGGAUUUUCCCUCGUCGCACGUACACGCUCCCUGAAGAGCAUUAUGGGAUUGAGGGACAGACGAGCAGAUCUCCUGAUCCACAUCAAGGCCUCUGGGUUUUUAUGGGUUUCUGCACCUCGCUGUUUAAAAAGAACGAUCAGGAGUCGGUAUUUCCUGAAAAGCGUCCUGAUCGGGGUUUUAAAGCGAAAUAAACAGAGCCAGAUAAAUAUAAACACCAUGCUGGUUUUCUCUCGUUUAACCGAGUCUGCAUUCAGGAAGAACAAUCACUAACGCUUCCUCGUUAAUCCAGACUCGUACGAUAGGAUAUAAAAACACCAAUACUGUACCCACACACACACACACACACCACCACCACAACACAAACACGCUGUAAACACACUGAAGGAGUUAUGUUAGGGAUUUGAUCAGAUAUACCGCAGAUCUGUCACAACGUGCUGAAGAGAUUUAAUCGCUCCGAAUGGUACAAACUUCAGACCGGGAUUGGGGUUCGAGCAGCCGAACGUACCGAGUGCUCGGAAUCACUCUAGAAACAAAUCAGGACCAAAUCGGAAUAGAGAAAAGAACGAAAUCUGAAUCAGAUCGGAUACUGUGAAUCAGAAUCGGAUCAGAACCGCGUAGGCACCAGAACGGAAUCCAAACAUGAGACGUGAAAUGACUCUGAACCCGAGUCAGAGUCCAAACGGAAAAGAGAUAAAAAAACUGAACCAGAAACCGUUCAGGACAAAGAUGAACCAGUGCUGAAUCAGAGUCAGAUCAGACAUGAUUCAGUACCGAGUCACUUUGCCCUUCUGGUUCUGUGAUGAGUUAAUAAUCAGGUGGUCAGGAAUACGAAUCACUAAACACAGGAAAUGUGCUCUCUGUGCGGCCAGAGACCAGGUUCUGACUCGGACGGUUCUGGUUCAGAAGUGGAUCGGGGGGG
RNA transcript from Ictalurus punctatus (channel catfish), 4205 nucleotides. It is a transcript of the gene named ankyrin repeat and LEM domain containing 2, with no coding region annotated. The record is from RefSeq and is a predicted model, not a curated record. NCBI's taxonomy places the organism in Eukaryota, Metazoa, Chordata, Actinopteri, Siluriformes, Ictaluridae. The transcript is spliced from 14 exons.